RNAcentral lists this long non-coding RNA (1390 nucleotides) under Taeniopygia guttata (zebra finch). RNAcentral's name for it is "lncRNA (ENSTGUG00000018795.1)". Lineage: Eukaryota; Metazoa; Chordata; Aves; Passeriformes; Estrildidae. The record is from RNAcentral.
UGUAUCACAAAAAGGCUUUUCCACAGAAGUUUGUCAAAGUUUAGAAUCCAUGUUUUAUUUUUCUCCAGGAAGUUUGUGAAAAUUACUUUUGGUCCAGCAUUAUAUGUUUCAAUUUUGCUUUCAACAGCUGGACGGGACGGAAACACUUCUUGCUGCAGGAGAUUUUACACCAGGGCAUGCAGAUAAAUUUGAGGUGACUCCAAAAGUUCUAACACCAGAAAUGGAAACUGGGGAGGACCUGAGCAGAAAUGACUCAGAUAGCUCAGGUGUCCAAAUAAGCUUGGAACUGAACCAAGAUUUUGUCAGGAAUGAUCAGAAUAAAGGCUAAUAUUUGGGGCAGGAAUCUGCUACAGGAAUCUGCUACAGACCACCUGCUUGGGAAGAGGAAGCAGAUUAAACCCUCUUCAGCUGGUAGAACAAGACUUGAAGUCACGUGCUCUGAGACUUGCUGUGGAUCAUCAGGAUCAGCUCCUGGCCUGUCCAACUCCUCACCCUGCACAGGACACCCAAAGAAUCCCUCAUGAAUGAAGGUAGGAACAGCAAAUCAAGAUCUGGAUUUAUAAGAGCAGCACUCAGACCGAAUUGUAAAAACCAGUUUGGAAUUCUUACAGGGUUUAACGCUAUUAACAGUCAGCCCUGGUGAGGCCUCCCCUGCAGGGCUGUGUCCAGCUCUGGGCCCCUCAGCACAGCAGGGCCAUGGAGCUCCUGCAGCGGGGCCGGCGGAGGCUGCAGAGAUGAUUCAGGGCCUGGAGCAUCCCUGGCAGGGAAAGGCUGAGGGAGCUGGGGCUGUGCAGCUGGAGAGGAGCCCCAGCUGAGAGGGGCCCUCAGCCCUGGGUGUCCCUGGCUGCAGGGAGGGCUCCGAGCAGGGCCCAGGCUCUGCUCUGGGGGCCCAGCAAUGGCACCAGAGCCACGGGCAGGGACUGAGCCCAGGAGGUUCCACCUGGGCAGGAGGAACAACUUCUGUCCUGGGCAGUGACCCAGCACUGAGCAGAUUGUCCAGAGAGGCUGUGGAGUCUCCUCCCUGGGGAUAUUCCAGACCCCCCUGGACACAAUCCUGUGCCCUGUGCUCUGGGAUGGCCCUGCUGGAGCAGGGAGGUGGCACCAGUGACCCACUGUGGUCCCUUCCUGGGAUUCUGUGAUCAGACAUUUCUCAGGCUACAUCUCAGCAGGUUUCUGCUUUUCUUCUGGGCUUGUUGAAAGGAAACAAUGAGUUCUUAUCCUGUUUCCCCCAUCUGGGGAAUGCAGGAUGAUGGAGACCUCCAGCCUGAAUGCAUCACACAUUUGUGAAUCUCUGUACAUACACUCCAGCCUGCUAUAGGUAUCCUGACACAUAAAUCAGCUGGGCACCAGAUGCAGGUUGGCUACAAGAGGGAAGAAAAAUCUGGGGGCA